UCAUUAGUUUUUUAAUUGAAAGCUUGUAUGAAUGGUUUGAUGAGAAAAUUUCUGUCUCAAUUUUAAUUUUUUAAAAUUUUAUUUUUAAGUAAAAAAGCUUAAAUAAAUUUAAAAGACGAGAAGACCCUAUAGAGUUUUAUUUAAAAUAUUUUUAAAAAUUUUAGAAUUAUUUUUUUUUAAUAUUAUUUUAAAUUGGGUUGGGGUGAUUAAAAAAUUAAAGUAACUUUUUUUUUAUUUAAACAUUAAUAUAUGAAUAAUUGAUCCAUAAAAAUGAUUAAAAGAUUAAAUUACCUUAGGGAUAACAGCGUAAUUUUUUUUUAGAGUCCUUAUUGAAAAAAAAGAUUGCGACCUCGAUGUUGGAUUAAAAUUUAUUUUUGGUGUAAAAGCUAAAA
This 392-nucleotide ribosomal RNA is filed under the name Afissula kambaitana. Its description in RNAcentral is "partial 16S ribosomal RNA". The record is from RNAcentral. Lineage: Eukaryota; Metazoa; Arthropoda; Insecta; Coleoptera; Coccinellidae.